This 74-nucleotide transfer RNA is filed under the name Deltaproteobacteria bacterium. RNAcentral's name for it is "tRNA-Ala". It matches the Rfam family "tRNA". Rfam says of the family: Transfer RNA (tRNA) molecules are approximately 80 nucleotides in length. Lineage: Bacteria; Pseudomonadati; Myxococcota; Myxococcia. The record is from RNAcentral.
GGGCUAAUGGUCCAAUGGGAAGACGCUGGCAUGGCUCGUCAGAGAUCGGGGUUCGAUUCCCCGUUAGUCCACAA